This is a long non-coding RNA of Populus trichocarpa (black cottonwood), 238 nucleotides long. RefSeq lists it as uncharacterized. The transcript is spliced from 2 exons. The record is from RefSeq and is a predicted model, not a curated record. Lineage: Eukaryota; Viridiplantae; Streptophyta; Magnoliopsida; Malpighiales; Salicaceae.
AUUCAGACACGAGAUCAUUCAUGUUGCUUUCAGCCUCGGUGAACUCCAUCUCAUCCAUGCCUUCCCCGGUGUACCAGUGCAAGAAAGCCUUCCUCCUGAACAUAGCUGUGAAUUGCUCACUCACACGCCUGAACAUCUCCUGGAUGGAGGUUGAGUUUCCGAUGAAGGUGGAUGCCAUUGCAAGCCCUAUUGGAGGAAUAUCACACACACUGGACUUGACAUUGUUUGGAAUCCACUC